Molecule: ribosomal RNA, 491 nt
Filed under: uncultured bacterium
Lineage: Bacteria
Description: partial 16S ribosomal RNA
Rfam family: Bacterial small subunit ribosomal RNA
Source: RNAcentral
AGUGAACGCUGGCGGUAGGCCUAACACAUGCAAGUCGAACGGCAGCACAGUAAGAGCUUGCUCUUACGGGUGGCGAGUGGCGGACGGGUGAGGAAUACAUCGGAAUCUACUUUUUCGUGGGGGAUAACGUAGGGAAACUUACGCUAAUACCGCAUACGACCUACGGGUGAAAGCAGGGGAUCUUCGGACCUUGCGCGAUUGAAUGAGCCGAUGUCGGAUUAGCUAGUUGGCGGGGUAAAGGCCCACCAAGGCGACGAUCCGUAGCUGGUCUGAGAGGAUGAUCAGCCAAACUGGACCUGAGACACGGUCCCGCCCCCUACGGGAGGCAGCAGGGGGGAAUAUUGGAAAAUGGGCGCAAGCCUGAUCCAGCCAACCCGCGGGGGUGAAGAAGGCCUUCGGGUUGUAAAGCCCUUUUGUUGGGAAAAAAAAGCAGCAGGUUAAUACCCCGCUGUUCUGGCGGUACCCAAAGAAUAAGCACCGGCUAACUUCGU